Molecule: ribosomal RNA, 286 nt
Filed under: uncultured bacterium
Lineage: Bacteria
Description: partial 16S ribosomal RNA
Rfam family: Bacterial small subunit ribosomal RNA
Source: RNAcentral
CGCCGGCUAACUACGUGCCAGCAGCCGCGGUAAUACGUAGGGCGCAAGCGUUAUCCGGAAUUAUUGGGCGUAAAGAGCUCGUAGGCGGUUUGUCACGUCUGCUGUGAAAUCCCGAGGCUCAACCUCGGACCUGCAGUGGGUACGGGCAGACUAGAGUGCGGUAGGGGAGACUGGAAUUCCUGGUGUAGCGGUGAAAUGCGCAGAUAUCAGGAGGAACACCAAUGGCGAAGGCAGGUCUCUGGGCCGCUACUGACGCUGAGGAGCGAAAGCGUGGGGAGCAAACAGG